AUUGAACGCUGGCGGCAGGCCUAACACAUGCAAGUCGAGCGGAUGAAGGGAGCUUGCUCCUGGAUUCAGCGGCGGACGGGUGAGUAAUGCCUAGGAAUCUGCCUGGUAGUGGGGGAUAACGUCCGGAAACGGGCGCUAAUACCGCAUACGUCCUGAGGGAGAAAGUGGGGGAUCUUCGGACCUCACGCUAUCAGAUGAGCCUAGGUCGGAUUAGCUAGUUGGUGGGGUAAAGGCCUACCAAGGCGACGAUCCGUAACUGGUCUGAGAGGAUGAUCAGUCACACCGGAACUGAGACCCGGUCCAGACUCCUACGGGAGGCAGCAGUGGGGAAUAUUGGACAAUGGGCGAAAGCCUGAUCCAGCCAUGCCGCGUGUGUGAAGAGGUCUUCGGAUUGUAAAGCACUUUAAGUUGGGAGGAAGGGCAGUAAGUUAAUACCUUGCUGUUUUGACGUUACCAACAGAAUAAGCACCGGCUAACUUCGUG
RNAcentral lists this ribosomal RNA (483 nucleotides) under uncultured bacterium. RNAcentral's name for it is "partial 16S ribosomal RNA". It matches the Rfam family "Bacterial small subunit ribosomal RNA", at positions 30 to 507 of the family's 1533-position model. The record is from RNAcentral.